RNAcentral lists this ribosomal RNA (250 nucleotides) under uncultured bacterium. RNAcentral's name for it is "partial 16S ribosomal RNA". It matches the Rfam family "Bacterial small subunit ribosomal RNA", at positions 524 to 773 of the family's 1533-position model. The record is from RNAcentral.
UACGUAUGGUGCAAGCGUUAUCCGGAUUUACUGGGUGUAAAGGGAGUGUAGGUGGCAGCACAAGUCAGAAGUGAAAGCCCGGGGCUCAACCCCGGGACUGCUUUUGAAACUGUGCAGCUGGAGUGCAGGAGAGGUAAGUGGAAUUCCUAGUGUAGCGGUGAAAUGCGUAGAUAUUAGGAGGAACACCGGUGGCGAAGGCGGCUUACUGGACUGUAACUGACACUGAGGCUCGAAAGCGUGGGGAGCAAAC